AGAUUGAACGCUGGCGGCAGGCCUAACACAUGCAAGUCGAGCGGUAGAGAGGUGCUUGCACCUCUUGAGAGCGGCGGACGGGUGAGUAAUGCCUAGGAAUCUGCCUAGUGGUGGGGGAUAACGUUCGGAAACGGACGCUAAUACCGCAUACGUCCUACGGGAGAAAGCGGGGGACCUUCGGGCCUCGCGCCAUUAGAUGAGCCUAGGUCGGAUUAGCUAGUUGGUGAGGUAAUGGCUCACCAAGGCGACGAUCCGUAACUGGUCUGAGAGGAUGAUCAGUCACACUGGAACUGAGACACGGUCCAGACUCCUACGGGAGGCAGCAGUGGGGAAUAUUGGACAAUGGGCGAAAGCCUGAUCCAGCCAUGCCGCGUGUGUGAAGAAGGUCUUCGGAUUGGUAAAAGCUAACGUUUAAGGUUGGGGAAGGUAAA
RNAcentral lists this ribosomal RNA (431 nucleotides) under uncultured soil bacterium. RNAcentral's name for it is "bacterial SSU rRNA". It matches the Rfam family "Bacterial small subunit ribosomal RNA", at positions 26 to 459 of the family's 1533-position model. The record is from RNAcentral.